GGAGGGUGCAAGCGUUAAUCGGAAUUACUGGGCGUAAAGCGCGCGUAGGCGGUUUGGUCAGUCGGAUGUGAAAGCCCUGGGCUCAACCUGGGAAUGGCAUUCGAUACUGCCUGACUAGAGUAUGGUAGAGGGAAGUGGAAUUUCCGGUGUAGCGGUGAAAUGCGUAGAUAUCGGAAGGAACACCAGUGGCGAAGGCGGCUUCCUGGGCCAAUACUGACGCUGAGGUGCGAAAGCGUGGGGAGCAAACAGGGAUUAGAUACCCUGGUAGUCCACGCCGUAAACGAUGAGAACUAGAUGUCGGGAGGGUUGCCUUUCGGUGUCGCAGCUAACGCGUUAAGUUCUCCGCCUGGGGAGUACGCCGGCAACGGUA
This 370-nucleotide ribosomal RNA is filed under the name uncultured organism. RNAcentral describes it as "partial 16S ribosomal RNA". It matches the Rfam family "Bacterial small subunit ribosomal RNA", at positions 527 to 896 of the family's 1533-position model. The record is from RNAcentral.